CCAGCUCGCAGAUCCAGCUUGCUGUACCACUGGGCACCAUGUAGCUCAUCUAACAGCUCCUGAAUAACCGGAAUGGGGUACUUGUCUGGAACAGUAAGCUUAUUGAGUUGGCGAUAAUCCACACAAAAACGCCACGAGCCAUCUUUCUUGCGAACUAAAAGAACGGGGCUGGAUUAAGGGCUAUGGCUAGGUUGUAUAAUGCCCGCAGCAAGCAUUUCAGCAACAAGGCGUUCCAUCUCAUCUUUUUGGGCAUGGUUAUAGCGGUAAGGUCGUACCGACACAGGUUGGGUACCUUCUUGGAGAGUAAUGCNUUCCAUCUCAUCUUUUUGGGCAUGGUUAUAGCGGUAAGGCCGUACUGACACAGGUUGGGUACCUUCUUGGAGAGUAAUGCGGUGAUCUGUGUCACGCAAUGGAGGAAGUCCCGUGGGAGGCUGACUGAUUGUGGGAAAGGCAGCCAAUACGGCGGCUAACUCACGUUGUGCCUCCUCUGAUAGGUCGGUGGAUACCCCAAAAUGUGCGAUCCCGUCCAGAAGCCACAACACCCAACAUUGGUCGUCACAUGUCAGACCACGCAGCUCACGGUGGUCACCUUGGCGCCGAGUAAGAGACAAGUCCCCGCGCAAACAUAUUCGACGGUCCUUGAAGGAGAACUCCAUUGUGAGGGCGGCCCAAUUAGCCUCAACAGUCCCCAAGGUAGCCAGCCAAGAAAUGCCCAAAAUCAAAUCCACACCAGUGAGAGGAAACACAUAACAAGGAACAUGGAAUAAUGUAGUGUCGAGUAAAAGAGGAACAGCCUUACAGAUACCGCCAGUGUGAACGCGAGAACCGUCUCCCAAUACGACGGAUAAACGAGUGGUGGGUACCACCUCCAAUUGUAAGGUACGUGCCAUCUUAUCGGAGAUGAAGCAAUGGCUUGCGCCACUGUCGACCAUGAUCAGAAGCCGAGUCUUGUCUACGCGGCCAAAAAAUUUCAUGGUUUGGGGACCAUCGAACCCACAAGAGGAAAGCUCAGACAGCUGCAGUUGGUGGAGGGUGGAGUCGGUCACAACGUCGGUGUUGGGGACGCAGAGAGGUUGGUCUGAUUCCGGUAGACCCGUGUCGAUCUCAG
This 1108-nucleotide long non-coding RNA is filed under the name Salvia miltiorrhiza (redroot sage). Its description in RNAcentral is "long non-coding RNA (SMIL_LNC006575)". The record is from RNAcentral. Lineage: Eukaryota; Viridiplantae; Streptophyta; Magnoliopsida; Lamiales; Lamiaceae.